AUUGAACGCUGGCGGCAGGCCUAACACAUGCAAGUCGAACGGUAACAGGAAGAAGCUUGCUUCUUUGCUGACGAGUGGCGGACGGGUGAGUAAUGUCUGGGAAACUGCCUGAUGGAGGGGGAUAACUACUGGAAACGGUAGCUAAUACCGCAUAACGUCGCAAGACCAAAGAGGGGGACCUUCGGGCCUCUUGCCAUCGGAUGUGCCCAGAUGGGAUUAGCUAGUAGGUGGGGUAACGGCUCACCUAGGCGACGAUCCCUAGCUGGUCUGAGAGGAUGACCGGCCACACUGGAACUGAGCCACGGUCCAGGCUCCUGCGGGAGGCAGCAGUGGGGAAUAUUGCACAAUGGGCGCAAGCCUGAUGCAGCCAUGCCGCGUGUAUGAAGAAGGCCUUCGGGUUGUAAAGUACUUUCAGCGGGGAGGAAGGGAGUAAAGUUAAUACCUUUGCUCAUUGACGUUACCCGCAGAAGAAGCACCGGCUAACUCCGUG
RNAcentral lists this ribosomal RNA (490 nucleotides) under uncultured bacterium. RNAcentral describes it as "partial 16S ribosomal RNA". It matches the Rfam family "Bacterial small subunit ribosomal RNA", at positions 30 to 507 of the family's 1533-position model. The record is from RNAcentral.